UCUUGAAAUCCAUCAUGCGCGCCGUCGCUGAAUCUAGUCUCUUCUGUCAGCGAUUUUGAUAACACGGAACUAAUCGCCGCAGGACGCCGAAUAGCCUCCCCGGAUCAUCGCCCGAACUCCGUUUCCGGCAGUUCCUGCUUUCUGUCGCCUCUGGGGUUGUGUUUGUUACAACUUUCAACGUCCCCCAGGGCGCCUCCAACACGGGCUAGCCACCCACACUGUGACGGCUGUCGCAUUGUUCGCGCGUAUUUCCUUGGCCUGUUGCUUUUUAAGGCAAUCUAGGCUUUACCAACGUGAUAUUCACGAGAGAAGCUCGUCGACCAGGUAAGGUUUAGUCCUCUCGCUACACCCUGUUUACCCACCCCUCAUGCUAUUCCUAUU
RNAcentral lists this long non-coding RNA (381 nucleotides) under Habropoda laboriosa. RNAcentral's name for it is "uncharacterized LOC108578239, transcript variant X2". The record is from RNAcentral. Lineage: Eukaryota; Metazoa; Arthropoda; Insecta; Hymenoptera; Apidae.